UACGUAGGGUGCAAGCGUUGUCCGGAAUUAUUGGGCGUAAAGAGCUCGUAGGCGGUUUGUUGCGUCGGCUGUGAAAUCCCGAGGCUCAACCUCGGGUCUGCAGUCGAUACGAGCAAACUAGAGUGUUGCAGGGGAGACUGGAAUUCCUGGUGUAGCGGUGAAAUGCGCAGAUAUCAGGAGGAACACCGGUGGCGAAGGCGGCAUACUGGACCGCCACUGACGCUGAUGCGCGAAAGCCAGGGGAGCAAACGGG
This 253-nucleotide ribosomal RNA is filed under the name uncultured bacterium. RNAcentral describes it as "partial 16S ribosomal RNA". It matches the Rfam family "Bacterial small subunit ribosomal RNA", at positions 524 to 776 of the family's 1533-position model. The record is from RNAcentral.